UUUUUUUUUUUUUUUUUUUUUUUUUUUUUUUUUUUUUUUUUUUUUUUUUUUUUUUUUUUUUUUUUUUUUUUUUUUUUUUUUUUUUUUUUUUUUUUUUUUUUUUUUUUUUUUUUUUUUUUUUUUUUUUUUUUUUUUUUUUUUUUUUUUUUUUUUUUUUUUUUUUUUUUUUUUUUUUUUUUUUUUUUUUUUUUUUUUUUUUUUUUUUUUUUUUUUUUUUUUUUUUUUUUUUUUUUUUUUUUUUUUUUUUUUUUUUUUUUUUUUUUUUUUUUUUUUUUUUUUUUUUUUUUUUUUUUUUUUUUUUUUUUUUUUUUUUUUUUUUUUUUUUUUUUUUUUUUUUUUUUUUUUUUUUUUUUUUUUUUUUUUUUUUUUUUUUUUUUUUUU
This 381-nucleotide unclassified non-coding RNA is filed under the name Vesicular stomatitis virus. RNAcentral's name for it is "RNA from Vesicular stomatitis virus (PDB 7UWS, chain H)". Lineage: Riboviria; Orthornavirae; Negarnaviricota; Monjiviricetes; Mononegavirales; Rhabdoviridae. The record is from RNAcentral.